Molecule: ribosomal RNA, 252 nt
Filed under: uncultured bacterium
Lineage: Bacteria
Description: partial 16S ribosomal RNA
Rfam family: Bacterial small subunit ribosomal RNA
Source: RNAcentral
UGCGGAGGAUGCGAGCGUUAUCCGGAUUUAUUGGGUUUAAAGGGUGCGUAGGCGGGCUUUUAAGUCAGCGGUAAAAAUUCGGGGCUCAACCCCGUCCGGCCGUUGAAACUGGGGGUCUUGAGUGGGCGAGAAGAAGGCGGAAUGCGUGGUGUAGCGGUGAAAUGCAUAGAUAUCACGCAGAACCCCGAUUGCGAAGGCAGCCUUCCGGCGCCCUACUGACGCUGAGGCACGAAAGUGCGGGGAUCGAACAGG